AAGAGCCUAACUCAAGAAAACAUUACCAAAUUCAAUCAUUGAAUAAGAGUAUGAACAGGAUCAUUACCAUGCUAUGAUACCAGGUAAACUCCCUCUUUCAUCAAGCAAGGAGAUAAGUGCUAAUAACAUUUGAUCAUUCAACUUCAAUUAUUUUCAGAAAGGGCAGAGGAUGAAACAAUAUAUCGUUUAGUUAGUCGCAAGUGUGUAUUACGGCCAAAAAAAUCAUAGUGAGGGAGAUGCAACUUUAUUUAGAGAAACAGAGAUGCUCUCAGGCACUUUUUCCGAGGCUAAUCUUCUCUAAGCCUUUACUUUCAUUACAUCUCAACUCUUCGGAGGCGAAUUCUGGCACUAAGUUUAUUUAGUCCAAUUUAUAUGGUUGACAACACAAUAUAUUUUGAAUUGGGUUUUAAGUUGCACGAUAUCAUCCGAAGUGAAAUCAAAACUGGGGUGUGGUACAAAUGGACAAAACAUGGUCGAAACUUGACCAGACAAACUACUUUCAGGUCUCAUUUGUUUGCACUUAUUGGAUUUAUGAACCUGUUCAGACCUCAAACCAUUAAGUGCAUUUGUUUNNNNNN
This 578-nucleotide long non-coding RNA is filed under the name Capsicum annuum. Its description in RNAcentral is "long non-coding RNA (CANN_LNC020758)". The record is from RNAcentral. Lineage: Eukaryota; Viridiplantae; Streptophyta; Magnoliopsida; Solanales; Solanaceae.